AAAACGUUUGGUUGUUGCGAGGGCUGAUUAGCACGGCACAAGUAGCGGGGAACUAAGCUAUGCUUGAAGGCAAAUAAAUGUUUUUGUAUUUCUUUAUA
This is a long non-coding RNA of Drosophila miranda, 98 nucleotides long. RefSeq lists it as uncharacterized. The record is from RefSeq and is a predicted model, not a curated record. NCBI's taxonomy places the organism in Eukaryota, Metazoa, Arthropoda, Insecta, Diptera, Drosophilidae. The transcript is spliced from 2 exons.